CAGCCCUGCAGGGGCUGCCCUGGUCCAGGCAGGGGGUGUCUUAAUCAGCACCCCCUGGCGACAGUGCACAGGGUUCCUUCUUGCAGCCCAAUGUUUCUUCAUCCAACCGCUUGUUUUAGUUGCUCUGGUUGGAAAGACGCUGGGGCCUGGGUGGGGAUCUUGUGAUGUGCAAGGCUGGCAAUUUUGCUGCCGGUUCUGGGCACCAUGGCAGUCUGCGCUGGGCCACUUAUCUCACAAUUGUGCCAGCGACCGGGGAGCCCUCCUAUCGGGACUGCACACCUGGGGUUUCCUCGAUGUUGGGUGUGGGUGAAGAAACCUCCUACCUGCCUGGCUGCCCAGCCCAGGGCACCCCAUCCCCACGCCCUCUGCCAAGGAAGCUGAUGGCUGGGCAGGCGCGGUGUCCCCGUUCCCUGGGCAGGCUUGGUGCUGCUGCAGGGAGCCAGACUGGGCUCCGGAGAGAGGGCCGGGCCGCUGUGCCUGGACCGUGGUGCUUUCUUUUCCCAGCUCUGGAGCGUGGAGCCAUUUCCACCUUCCUCUCAGAACUCCUGGGAAAAAUUCACAUUCCAUGGGGUUUUUUGUUUCAUUUUUGGGUUUUUUUUGAUACUGGGGAUUGAACUCACGACCUCGCACUUGCCAGGCAGGUGCUUAUGCCACUGAGCUAAAUCCCUGGCCCCUCCGCUUUCUUUUUUAAUCUGGGAAUUAGCAUUUGUGUGUUUUUAAACUUUCUAGACAAAGAUAAAAGGGAUCUUACUUUAUUUUAUUUUUUUGAUGGUAAGAAAACAAAAUUUCAUGAAAAUGUUAAUAUUGACCCAAUAUGAAACAAAAAUAGUCAAAACUAUGCACGUGACAUAUUGCACAAUGCUGGAACCCAGCAAGUGUCCUGUCAUAUGAGAAUCAUACUGUGCUAAUCUACAAACUGUGCAGAAACAAAUGGACUUUGUCAAAAAAAAGGGGGGGGGAUUUAAACAUCUACCUUUUCUUUGGUCUUGUGGAUUGAACCUAGGACCUUCACAAGGAAUUUUUUUUUUUUUGUACUGGGGAUUGAACUCAGGACCUGGCGCUUGCCAAGCAGGUGCUGCAUCACUGGACUAAAUCCCUAGUCCGUGAACUCUUUCUGUUUGAUUUUGAGACAGUCUUGCAAAGUCACUAACUUGUCCAGGCUGGCCUCAGACUUGUGGUCCUCCUGCUUCAGCCUCCUGAGGUGCUGGGAUUACAGGCGUGCACCAUCACAGCUGCCCGAGUCUUUGUUUUCAGCCCUGGCAGUUGUAUCAUCACCAUUCCUUCACGGCCAGACAGGGUCUCACGACGUAGCUCAGGCUGGCCUUGAACUCAUGGCAAUCCUCCUGCCUCAGCCCCCCAAAUGCUGGGGGUUGCAGUUUCCCUAUGCAGCCUAGGCUGGCCUGAAAUCAUGGUGACCCUCCUGCCUCAGCCUCCCAAGAGUGGGGAUCACAGGCCUGUGCAUCACAUCUGGCUGUUUUCCUGCUGCUGAGUUGUUUGUAUUCAGAAUGCCUCCCCGACUCUCAUGCUGUAUUUAGUAAGCUGAUUUCAAGCUGCUGGCCGCCUACAGCACUGCUCCUGUCUCAGCGGCCAGCAGGGCCCAGGAGACGCCACCCCUGCGGCCCACCUGCCUGACUGCAGCCUUGGAUGCCAGCGCCCAUCCCCACGGAAGAGUGGCUGUGCAGGGCUGUGCAGGGCGGCGGCGCUGAAAUUCAUCCCGGUGCUUCCUCCACGCGGCUGGAAUCCUGGUCGGCUGUUUAAGAGCCCAAUGUUUACUGGAGGGGAGACCUGCAGAGGUGCCUGGUGUGGGGAGGCUGCUGAGUGCCUGUGUUUGAAUCUGUGGAUAGCUGAGCCCCACCACCUCUGGGGUACACAGGAAAAGGCCUGGCCCAGGAGAAACAGCUUGUGGGGCAGAUGAGCUGGCCACGCCCCACCAAACUCACUCCAGACUUUGGUUCUGUGACUUUCCCCUUUUCCUGAAAUCUUUUUUUCUUUCCUUUUCUUUUUUUCUUCUUUUUUGAGACAGGGUCUUGCUAUGCAGUUCAGCCUGGCCUUGAACUCACUGUAACCCAGGCUGGCCUCAAACUCACUGGGAUCCUCCUGCCUCAGCCUGCUGAGAUUACAGGCAUGUGCCACCAUGCCUGGCCCCUCAGUCCUUAUAGACUGUUAGAAGAGCACAACAAAACCUGAAAACAUGAGAUCAGUCCUGAAGGAAAACUGAAUGUCAGACCUACCUGGCACCACGUUUAAACAGCUCUGCCCAAUAAAUGUCCCUUUCCAGGUGACUGGCUUA
Molecule: long non-coding RNA, 2290 nt
Organism: Cavia porcellus (domestic guinea pig)
Lineage: Eukaryota; Metazoa; Chordata; Mammalia; Rodentia; Caviidae
Exons: 4
Source: RefSeq, a predicted model, not a curated record